AUUGAACGCUGGCGGCAUGCCUUACACAUGCAAGUCGAACGGUAACAGGUCUUCGGAUGCUGACGAGUGGCGAACGGGUGAGUAAUACAUCGGAACGUGCCUAGUAGUGGGGGAUAACUACUCGAAAGAGUGGCUAAUACCGCAUGAGAUCCACGGAUGAAAGCAGGGGAUCGCAAGACCUUGUGCUACUAGAGCGGCCGAUGGCAGAUUAGGUAGUUGGUGGGAUAAAAGCUUACCAAGCCGACGAUCUGUAGCUGGUCUGAGAGGACGAUCAGCCACACUGGGACGUAGAAACGGCCCAUACUCCUACAGGAGGCAGCAGUGGGGAAUGUUGGACAAUGGGCGCAAGCCUGAGUCAGCAAUGCCGCGUGCAGGAUGAAGGCAUUCGGGUUGUAAACUGCUUUUGUACGGAACGAAAAGCCCCGGGUUAAUACCCUGGGGUCAUGACGGUACCGUAAGAAUAAGCACCGGCUAACUACGUGCCAGCCGCCGCGGUAA
RNAcentral lists this ribosomal RNA (498 nucleotides) under uncultured bacterium. Its description in RNAcentral is "partial 16S ribosomal RNA". It matches the Rfam family "Bacterial small subunit ribosomal RNA", at positions 30 to 523 of the family's 1533-position model. The record is from RNAcentral.